Long non-coding RNA from Ostrinia furnacalis (Asian corn borer), 689 nucleotides. RefSeq lists it as uncharacterized. The record is from RefSeq and is a predicted model, not a curated record. The transcript is spliced from 2 exons. NCBI's taxonomy places the organism in Eukaryota, Metazoa, Arthropoda, Insecta, Lepidoptera, Crambidae.
GGUCGAUCAACUUUUUAACCGACAUAAGCUUGUCCCGACGAUAUCGCAUUCAAAAACGACUAAAUUAAGAUAAUUUAAAAAUUAUUUUUAAGUUCCAUUCAAUUAACAGUUCAGAAACCUUAAUAAUAAACAUAUGAAAUCUAGAUAAUAUAAAUAAAUAAACAUAAAAACUAUGGUAACUCAGCAUACGACUUCUUGCCUUCCAUACAAAUUACAGCUGUCCCCAGAGCGAGGUGGCUAUAUGUAAUUUCUAAUGUAAGAAAAAUUUUCCUUUAAAAGUAUUCAAGUCAGCUAAUAAAUUGCUUAUAAAUUAAACAAGGUUUAGUUUGUACUUUGUAAAAUAUAAAAAUAUGUUAUGAUUUUAAAGAAAAAAGUCCCUAAAACUGUGUCCCGAAUUCAUCCCAUUUUGUAGUGUAUGCAGAGUUACCGUGUAAAAAAUAAACAAACAUUAUGCUACACGUCACAAAUUUCUAAUGAAGAACGGCGGUACAACCUUUGUUCUUGGCCGCGCGGCGGCGAGCCUUUGAUUGCAGCCGCCGCGCGGCCAGGCCGCGGCAAGCUAUCGAUGAGUGCGCGUGUGUUUAUUCAGUGUCGGCGGAGUUACCGGAUUAUUUCGAUGAACAGAUUGUAAACUCACUAAUAAUGGCGUUAACGGCGGCCGAAAAGCAGAAAAGGUUCCGUGAAAAAUU